This 325-nucleotide ribosomal RNA is filed under the name uncultured eukaryote. Its description in RNAcentral is "partial 18S ribosomal RNA". It matches the Rfam family "Eukaryotic small subunit ribosomal RNA", at positions 1470 to 1796 of the family's 1831-position model. The record is from RNAcentral.
CCCUUAGAUGUCCAGGGCCGCACGCGCGCUACACUGAUGCAUUCAACGAGUUUCACCUUGGCCGAGAGGCCUGGGCAAUCUUUUAAACCUGCAUCGUGAUAGGGAUAGAUUAUUGCAAUUGUUAAUCUUGAACGAGGAAUUCCUAGUAAACGCAAAUCAUCAAUUUGCAUUGAUUACGUCCCUGCCCUUUGUACACACCGCCCGUCGCACCUACCGAUUGAAUGGUCCGGUGAAGCCUCGGGAUUGUGGCCAGUUCACUUUAUUGGGAGUUGGCUGUGAGAACUUGUCUAAACCUUAUCAUUUAGAGGAAGGUGAAGUCGUAACA